This 424-nucleotide ribosomal RNA is filed under the name Verrucomicrobiota bacterium. Its description in RNAcentral is "Verrucomicrobia bacterium partial 16S ribosomal RNA". It matches the Rfam family "Bacterial small subunit ribosomal RNA", at positions 355 to 776 of the family's 1533-position model. The record is from RNAcentral. Lineage: Bacteria; Pseudomonadati; Verrucomicrobiota.
UGAGGAAUAUUGGUCAAUGGACGCAAGUCUGAACCAGCCAAGUAGCGUGCAGGAUGACGGCCCUAUGGGUUGUAAACUGCUUUUAUAUGGGGAUAAAGUGGGGAACGUGUUCCCUUUUGCAGGUACCAUAUGAAUAAGGACCGGCUAAUUCCGUGCCAGCAGCCGCGGUAAUACGGAAGGUUCGGGCGUUAUCCGGAUUUAUUGGGUUUAAAGGGAGCGUAGGCCGUUUGGUAAGCGUGUUGUGAAAUGUAGACGCUCAACGUCUGAAUUGCAGCGCAUACUGGUUUCCUUGAGUACGCACAACGGUGGGGGAAUUCGUCGUGUGGCGGUGAAAUGCUUAGAUAUGACGAAGAACUCCGAUUGCGAAGGCAGCUGACGGGAGCGCAACUGACGCUUAAGCUCGAAGGUGCGGGUAUCAAACAGG